Molecule: ribosomal RNA, 441 nt
Filed under: uncultured Alphaproteobacteria bacterium
Lineage: Bacteria; Pseudomonadati; Pseudomonadota; Alphaproteobacteria
Description: bacterial SSU rRNA
Rfam family: Bacterial small subunit ribosomal RNA
Source: RNAcentral
CCUACGGGGGGCAGCAGUGGGGAAUCUUGCGCAAUGGGCGAAAGCCUGACGCAGCCAUGCCGCGUGAAUGAUGAAGGUCUUAGGAUUGUAAAAUUCUUUCACCGGGGACGAUAAUGACGGUACCCGGAGAAGAAGCCCCGGCUAACUUCGUGCCAGCAGCCGCGGUAAUACGAAGGGGGCUAGCGUUGCUCGGAAUUACUGGGCGUAAAGCGAGCGUAGGCGGACAUUUAAGUCAGGGGUGAAAUCCCGGGGCUCAACCUCGGAAUUGCCUUUGAUACUGGGUGUCUUGAGUGUGAGAGAGGUAUGUGGAAUUCCGAGUGUAGAGGUGAAAUUCGUAGAUAUUCGGAAGAACACCAGUGGCGAAGGCGACAUACUGGCUCAUUACUGACGCUGAGGCUCGAAAGCGUGGGGAGCAAACAGGAUUAGAUACCCUAGUAGUCC